ACACUUUAUAUCAAGUAUACUGCACCAGUGUGGAGAAAUGCCAAAAUAAAAGCCUCAUAUUUAUGCCUCCAGAGAUUGCAUAUUUGACCAUAUUUGAGGUACUGUAAAAACAUAUUGCUCAGUGUUUCCUGGCUACUGAUGGUAUAUUUGACUUUUACACAUAUGAGACUACAAACAUACUUAAUAUCAAGCAUUUUUACUGUACCAAUUUGGAGAAAUUCAACAAUAAAAGUCCAUAUUUGUACCUCCAAGUGGUAUUUUCAUAUAUUUGAGCUACUGUAAAAACACUUUGCUCAAUAAUUCCUGGCUAUGGAUGAUAUAUUUGACUUCUACACAUCUAAGACUACAAGUAUACUUAAUAUCAAGCAUUUUUACUGUACCAAUGUGGAGAAAUUGAAGAAUAAAAGUCCCAUAUUUAUACUUCCAGAUUCCAUAUUUUCUUAUAUUUGAGCUACUAUAAAAAUGUAAACUGUAUGUGGAACCACCUGCAACAGCUGUCACACUGAAUAAUAUAAAAAAUAAUAUGUGAGGAAGAGACAGUAGGUACAAUGGUGUUUUGAAGUUAAAAGUAAUUAUUUUUCCCUUUUACCUACAAAUGGACACAGCAGAGCUGCAAAAUAAGAAGAAUGUGGACUGGCAUUGCAUUUUGUGUGAAAAGUAAACAAAUUAGAAUAGUGUAGGAUUUUGUGUUUAGUGUUUAUAUUAUCAAGAUGUUAUUAAACAUUUGUGUGAAAUUU
This is a long non-coding RNA of Dicentrarchus labrax (European seabass), 737 nucleotides long. RefSeq lists it as uncharacterized. The record is from RefSeq and is a predicted model, not a curated record. NCBI's taxonomy places the organism in Eukaryota, Metazoa, Chordata, Actinopteri, Moronidae. The transcript is spliced from 2 exons.